This 241-nucleotide non-coding RNA is filed under the name Enterococcus columbae DSM 7374 = ATCC 51263. RNAcentral describes it as "Listeria sRNA rliD". It matches the Rfam family "Listeria sRNA rliD", at positions 27 to 207 of the family's 327-position model. The record is from Rfam by way of RNAcentral. Lineage: Bacteria; Bacillati; Bacillota; Bacilli; Lactobacillales; Enterococcaceae.
UUCGCUUCUUUGGAGGCAACAGCUGCACUUAAAACAACGGUAUCGCCAUAGCGUACCAAAACAGCUCCAUUGGCUUGUUUGGCUAAUUGGCCAACUUCGAUAGAUAAUGGGCGGCCACCCCAAGUGGUUGAAAAUACUUGUUUUGUCAUUUUCCAUUUCCUUUCUCACUGGGGAUUACUUGCUACUAAACAAAGGAAAAAUUAGCAUACUUCCUAGCCUUUCCUUUGGUUAGUAGUAAGCG